This 685-nucleotide ribosomal RNA is filed under the name Heyndrickxia acidiproducens. RNAcentral describes it as "bacterial SSU rRNA". It matches the Rfam family "Bacterial small subunit ribosomal RNA", at positions 306 to 981 of the family's 1533-position model. The record is from RNAcentral. Lineage: Bacteria; Bacillati; Bacillota; Bacilli; Caryophanales; Bacillaceae.
GGCCACAUUGGGACUGAGACACGGCCCAAACUCCUACGGGAGGCAGCAGUAGGGAAUCUUCCGCAAUGGACGAAAGUCUGACGGAGCAACGCCGCGUGAGUGAAGAAGGUUUUCGGAUCGUAAAACUCUGUUGUCAGGGAAGAACAAGUGCUGUUCGAACAGGGCGGCACCUUGACGGUACCUGACCAGAAAGCCACGGCUAACUACGUGCCAGCAGCCGCGGUAAUACGUAGGUGGCAAGCGUUGUCCGGAAUUAUUGGGCGUAAAGCGCGCGCAGGCGGCUUCUUAAGUCUGAUGUGAAAUCUUGCGGCUCAACCGCAAGCGGUCAUUGGAAACUGGGAGGCUUGAGUGCAGAAGAGGAGAGUGGAAUUCCACGUGUAGCGGUGAAAUGCGUAGAGAUGUGGAGGAACACCAGUGGCGAAGGCGACUCUCUGGUUUGUAACUGACGCUGAGGCGCGAAAGCGUGGGGAGCGAACAGGAUUAGAUACCCUGGUAGUCCACGCCGUAAACGAUGAGUGCUAAGUGUUAGAGGGUUUCCGCCCUUUAGUGCUGCAGCUAACGCAUUAAGCACUCCGCCUGGGGAGUACGACCGCAAGGUUGAAACUCAAAGGAAUUGACGGGGGCCCGCACAAGCGGUGGAGCAUGUGGUUUAAUUCGAAGCAACGCGAAGAACCUUACCAGGUCU